Molecule: long non-coding RNA, 1174 nt
Organism: Musa acuminata AAA Group (dessert banana)
Lineage: Eukaryota; Viridiplantae; Streptophyta; Magnoliopsida; Zingiberales; Musaceae
Exons: 3
Source: RefSeq, a predicted model, not a curated record
UAGCUGAUAGAGAGUCAGCUCGGCAGACCAUCCUUCGGCGGCAGGUGAGAUUUCGUGAUGUGUUUUCUCUUGUAUAAUUCUUGUGAUUUAUGCUUUGUGUGACCUGUUUUUAGGCCCUCAGGAAGGAGCUGAAGAGAAGAGUUGUUGAUUUGUCAUUGCAGAAUGAGAACAUGAAGAUGGAGAAGGACUUGGCUGCGAAAGAGUACCUUUCACUUAAGGGCGCAAACGAACACCUAAAAGAGCAGAUUGCUGAGACACAGAGGUUUCAGAUGGCUGCAUCCGCAGUGAUGGAGUCACCAUCGUCCUCAACAAUCAAGCACCACCCUUUCGUAUACGGGAAAUCGCCUAUGGUCCCAUUCAUGUAUCCUUCUCGGCCUUCCCUCACUUUUGGGCAAGUGAAUCCAAACGGUGGAUCAGUGCCGCCUCAUUGCAUGCGGCCUUGCGCUUGGUCUUAUCCAUUUCAUCACCAAGUCUCAAGAUCAGCACCAUGUUUUCAUGCAUUCGGAAACGACGAUGUCGGAGACAUUGCCAGUAAGCGUCAUGUACUGAUGCAGUCUUGUAGGAGACCGUACCACAGAGAAAGAGUUCCUCUCCAUGGCAGCGAUGUGAAGGAGAACACUUCGUUAGCGACUACCGGAGAGCGGGUCCUUAGAGGCUCUUCACAUGGAGGCAAAGGUCGGCCGGAGAAACUCCAUGGUGCUUUCACUUGCCUCCCUCGUAACUUAUCGAGCAUGGUGUCGGUGAUGGCGGCAACGGAGGCAAGGAAGACGAGGAAGCAGCUGAUGAAGUCGAAGCAAUCUCAAGGAAGACCGGCAGAAACGCACGGGUAAACCAUAAACCCGGAGAUAGUGUUCAUGGAUCUCGAUCAGCUGUAGAGGAGUUAAUUUGAGGUUACCAUCUGACAAGGCAUUACAUUGAGGGAGGGAUGAUACGAACAAGGCUCAUCACCUUCCUUCAAUAUUCCAGCAUUUGAGCUUCUGCAGGGUUACCACAUCAAAUUAUAGCAGGCCGUCUUGUACUAGUGCAGAUCGAUACACAAGGGGAGAAGUUGAUGUUAUGUAUCAGUCAGUCAUCUUUAUGUGAUUGCAUCUGCAUAAAAUAUCAGAGUUCCACAAUGUUGAAGAUGCAAAUCAACAGUUUAUUGGCAUUGGACUGUUGUGGUGCUUUGCAUUGC